This 482-nucleotide ribosomal RNA is filed under the name uncultured bacterium. RNAcentral describes it as "partial 16S ribosomal RNA". It matches the Rfam family "Bacterial small subunit ribosomal RNA", at positions 30 to 507 of the family's 1533-position model. The record is from RNAcentral.
AUUGAACGCUGGCGGCAUGCUUUACACAUGCAAGUCGAACGGUAACAGGCCGCAAGGUGCUGACGAGUGGCGCACGGGUGAGUAAUGCAUCGGAACGUGCCCAGUCGUGGGGGAUAACUACUCGAAAGAGUAGCUAAUACCGCAUACGAUCUAUGGAUGAAAGCGGGGGACCGUAAGGCCUCGCGCGAUUGGAGCGGCCGAUGUCAGAUUAGGUAGUUGGUGGGGUAAAGGCUCACCAAGCCAACGAUCUGUAGCUGGUCUGAGAGGACGACCAGCCACACUGGGACUGAGACACGGCCCAGACUCCUACGGGAGGCAGCAGUGGGGAAUUUUGGACAAUGGGCGCAAGCCUGAUCCAGCAAUGCCGCGUGCAGGAAGAAGGCCUUCGGGUUUUAAACUGCUUUUGUACGGAACGAAACGGCUCUGGUUAAUACCCGGGGCUAAUGACGGUACCGUAAGAAUAAGCACCGGCUAACUACGUG